AUGGUUUUAAAGCCCUUCUCCAAAUCCCUCCUUGCCUUCUACCGCUUACUUCGCCGAAGGUUAGGGAAUCCGCUAGGCCAGUACCAUCACCUUCAAAGCUCGAGCGGCAUAUCUACCUGUCCUAAGAUCAUCCAGACAUGUUUGCGAGUGCCACAAGAUAAUGAACACCUCCGGAACAAAACUCUAGUCCUAGAUGUUGAAGGAGGUCUCCUGAGGUCUACAUCUACCUUCCCUUAUUUCAUGCUUAUUGCAAUAGAGGCAGGUAGUUUCCUAAGAGGCUUCAUCCUACUAUGCCUCUACCCUUUGCUAUGUUGCCUGCCUCAAGAAGUAGAAACAAAGAUCAUGGUCAUCGUGUGCUUCGUGGGGUUAAGGGAGGAGAAGGUGGUUAGGGUUGCGCGGGCUACUUUGCCCAAGUAUUUCCUAGAGGAUGUGGGGAGGGAAGGACUUGAGGUGGUGAGAGGGGUAAAGAGGGUGGCAGGGGUUUGUAGGUUGAUCCCUAGGGUUAUGGCGGAAGCAUUUCUUAAGGAGUAUACAGGAUUUGAAGUGGUUGUGGGAAGGGAGGUGAAGAUGAUAAGAGGGUGUUAUGUUGGUUUAUUGGGAAAGGAGAGUGAAGCAAGGCUAGGGCAGGCAAAGUUCGACCAAAACGAGAUGAUAGGGUUUGGAAGCAGCUCAAACUAUUUUGACUAUGAUCAUCACCAGCUUUUCUCUCGGUGCAAGGAAGUACACUUGGUGACACGAGAAGAUAAGAGAAAAUGGUCACCCUUGACAAGGGACCAGUACCCAAGACCCUUGAUCUUCCAUGAUGGCAGGCUAGCCUUUAGGCCUACCCCUCAAGCCACCCUAGCCAUGUUCAUGUGGCUCCCACUUGCCCUCCCUCUCACCGUGCUCCGAACACUAAUCUUUGUGAAACUACCAUAUUCUAUCUCCGUCGCAAUUGGGGCUGUAAUAGGAGUAACGACCCGGGUCAUCAACUCACCGGUCCACAUUGGUCAAGUGGGCUGUGAUGAACCACAUGCCCAGCCCAGCCCACAGGGCCACCUUUACGUGUGCAACCACCGCACACUUCUCGACCCGGUGUACAUCUCGGCAAUGCUGAACAAGCAGGUGUCAACCGUCACAUACAGUGUCAGCCGUGUAAGUGAGCUCCUAUCGCCAAUCGGGACUGUCCGGCUGACCCGAAACAGAGAUGAGGACCGGAGGAGGAUGGAGCAGUCACUGAGGCAGGGGGACCUGGUGGUCUGCCCUGAGGGGACCACAUGCCGGGAGCCAUACCUGCUCCGCUUCAGCCCUCUGUUUGUCGAACUCGUUGAUGAGGUCUACCCAGUGGCACUGGUGAACUGGUCCAGCAUGUUUCACGGCACCUCCACUGGCAAUUUCAAGUAUCUAGACCACUUCUACUACUUCAUGAACCCACGCCCAGCGUAUGAUGUUCAGUUCAUGGACAAGAUUCCAACAAGGAUGGCGAUCCAAGGGAAGAGAUGCGAGAGCAAAGAGGUGGCCAAUCUGGUGCAAGGUGAGAUUGGUAGGACUCUUGGGUUUCGAUCCACCACACUCACCCGUAAGGACAAGUACUUGAGGCUGGCAGGAAAUGAAGGGUUUGCUGAUACAAAGCAGUGA
This 1617-nucleotide ribosomal RNA is filed under the name Triticum aestivum (bread wheat). RNAcentral describes it as "partial small subunit ribosomal RNA". The record is from RNAcentral. Lineage: Eukaryota; Viridiplantae; Streptophyta; Magnoliopsida; Poales; Poaceae.